GAAAUGCGAUAAGUAAUGUAAAUUGCAGAAUUCAGUGAAUCAUCGAAUCUUUGAACGCACAUUGCGCCCGCCAGUAUUCUGGCGGGCAUGCCUGUUCGAGCGUCAUUUCAACCAUCAAGCCCCCGGGCUUGUGUUGGGGACCUGCGGCUGCCGCAGGCCCCGAAAACCAGUGGCGGGCUCGCUGUCACACCGGGCGUAGUAGAUUUUUCGUCUCGCCCAGGGCGUGCUGCGGGUUCCGGCCGUUAAAAAGCCUCUCUUUUUAACCCAAGGUUGACCUCGGAUCAGGUAGGAAGACCCGCUGAACUUAAGC
RNAcentral lists this unclassified non-coding RNA (310 nucleotides) under plant metagenome. RNAcentral describes it as "partial contains 5.8S ribosomal RNA, internal transcribed spacer 2, and large subunit ribosomal RNA". The stretch from base 1 to 105 matches the Rfam family "5.8S ribosomal RNA", at positions 50 to 154 of the family's 154-position model. The record is from RNAcentral.